RNAcentral lists this unclassified non-coding RNA (3484 nucleotides) under Leishmania donovani. RNAcentral describes it as "gene:LdHU3.36.2670(CDS-product:DNA_mismatch_repai r_protein_MSH6_putative)". Lineage: Eukaryota; Euglenozoa; Kinetoplastea; Trypanosomatida; Trypanosomatidae. The record is from RNAcentral.
CCGUACUUUGGCGCACUAAUUUUGAUGCACUUAAACGAGCAAAGAAAGAGGUUCUUUUCGUUUCCACACCUCUCUCCAAUGGUGCUUUUGGAUAAUCAGGUCGAUGUGAACUCGGUGAGCUUCACUUAUCCCUUCCUGGAAGGGAUCGACCCGACUGCGCCACCGUCGACUAUAUCUAUUCCGCACAAGUACCUCGAUGCAAUGGCCAACAUGGAAAGGCAGUACUGGGACAUCAAGUCGAAACACUACAACGUCGUGAUUUUCUUCAAGAAGGGCAAAUUCUACGAGCUAUACGACUACGACGCUGUGAUUGCCAAUAGAGAAUUCGGCCUGAAAAUGGUCUUGGACACAUCUAAUCGCGGCAAAAUGAGGUUGGCUGGCGUUCCCGAACAAAGCUACAAUGAGUGGGCUCGACUUUUUGUGUAUCGCGGGUACAAGGUGGGCCGUGUUGAGCAGAUGAAAGAGACCGAGAGUGAGGCGCAAGCAGCGAAGAUGAAGGUUGUUCCGCGUGAACUGGUCGAGGUGUUGACCCCAGGCACCUUGAAAGAUCCGUCAAUGCUGUCUGAUCACCGCGAGGUCUUUGUUUUGUCGCUUGCCCCCGUCUGCAGCGACGGGGAACUCGUAAUUGACGCGUUCGCUGUUGAUCUAUCACGCCGCGUCGCGCAUUGGUGCACAUGCGGCACUGGCAACAAAGAGGCCAAAACUGGCUGUCAUGCCGUUUCUUCGGAGCUCAGUAUCAAGAGAGAAAACGGCUUUUACGGCUCUCUAAAGGACUCCACUUUGCGCGCAUUGAGCGCUCUCUUGCAACAGUUGAACCCAAAGGAGGUGAUCAUAUCAAGCAGCGAUUGGGUUUCCAAGGAUGCUGAAAGGAGGCAGGCUUUCAAGCACAUCUGCGACGAAAUCACCAAGUGGACUGAGAGCGAAGGGUUCUCGGUAGAGCACAUCUCCAGCACGGCGUUGCCAAGCCUGUCGAUGAGCGCUAUGGUGACGGCAGAGCAGGUGAUGGCGAGCUACUUCACAUUUCUUUGUCUUGCAAGCGACAUCGCUAUUUUCUCAACGGCAACGGAGUACACGGCGCACUUGUCUGGUGUGAUCGGUGCCGACUCUGGGACAGCGGCGUCGGAUACUAUGUUGGGUGGGGCAGCUAGUGGAAAGUCGUCCAUUAUGGAUUAUGAGCGCCGCUUUGACAAGGGCCUGGUGCUGGAUGCCGCCACCGUGAGCAAUUUGGAAGUGCUAACAAACUUGCAUGAUGGCUCUGACAAGCAUUCAUUGAAUGAGUGUCUAAAUCGCUGCAGCACAAACGGUGGACGUCGCCUUUUCCGCUCCUGGCUGCUGCGGCCGUCCGCCAGCUCGCGGGUCAUCGCGGCGCGCCAAGAAGCCGUGCGUUUUUUGGCGCGAUACAAUUUGCUGCACUCUUUAAGGGACAUGGAGGUUAGCGAGCAGGCCGGGGAGAAGCGAUUCCGCUCGAACGAGGGACUGUCUCUGUUCUCGUCCGUAGUGUUCGUCGACUUCGAGCGCUUCCUUUCGCGUUUGUCCGACAUAAAGCAGAAUGACUCGCAAAACAUCGCGUACGUCGAUCCCAUGGUGCAGUACAAGAAGAACCUUGGCAUCAUUCUCUCGUCUGUGCAAGCCCUAAGCGCGAUGGUAGGCUGGGGCAAGCAGUUCUUUGCACAGUGCCGCGAGGUCGCGUGCGAACAGGGGACUGACAUUCCUGCACUUUUAGGGGAGCUUCUCGAGGAAGUUACUACUGCCGAAGCCAGCAGCAAGCGCAUCGAAGGCUUGUUCGACCGCCAAGCCGCUGAGGAGAGUGGCUUGCUGAUUCCCUCGCCAGGAACGUCGAGCGCGUACGACGCGGCAACCGCGAAGCUGAGGCAUGUCGAGUCAAAGCUGCACGACGUGCGACGCCAGCUACAAGAAGAUGUGUUCCGAGGUGCGCAAGCUCAUUUUGCCGAUCUGGGGAAAGAUCUGUUCUUGAUUGAGGUUGCUGUGGCCGAUGCGCCAAAGAUGACACCCGCCGGGAUGGUUGAAAGAGCGCGGAACGCAAAGAGCGUCAAGUACGUCGUGUCUUCUAUCGAAGCCCUCGUGGAGACUCACAAGGAGGCCACCGCCAUGAAAGCCGGAGCUUUGCUUACUGUUCUGUGCAGCGUUGCGAGCCGCAUCUGUGACGAGUUUCCGCGCCUUUUUUCGGCUAGCCGGGCCCUAUCGUAUAUUGAUUGUUUACUAAGCUUGGCGCAGCUCCAUCAAGCGUUUCCCACGGUAUGCUAUCCACGGCUUUGCACGGCGCACGAGCGUGAUGUCGCCGUGGUGCGCGGGUGGGACAUGAUCCACCCCCUUCUCACAGCAAAGAACCCUGUAGCGAACAAUGUGAGCCUAGACGACGUCGAGGGACGCGUUUUGCUUCUGACUGGUCCUAAUAUGGCGGGCAAGAGCACGCUGAUGCGCACCGUUGCCAUAAACGUGCUCCUGGCACAGCUAGGCGGGCCUGUGCUGGCUACCAAGAUGGAACUCUCCCCGGUCGACCGCGUCUUCACCCGCAUUGGUGCCCGCGAUGCAUCGCACAAAGGCCAAAGUACCCUAUACGUGGAGCUCAGCGAGACCGCCGAUAUCCUGCACAGCGCAAGCGCGCGCAGCCUGUGCCUUGUCGACGAGCUUGGACGAGGGACGUCGACGCACGAUGGCAUGGCUAUUGCGCACGCCACGCUGCACGCCUUGACGACGGCCAAGCCUGCAGCGCCUCUCACUAUUUUCUCCACACACUACCACGCCCUAGCGAUUGAGCAGGCACGUACAGCAACAACCACUCCCACAGGUGCACACGCACGCGCGGUACAGCUGGGGUACAUGGAUUUUGUUCUGAAGUUUGAGACAGCGGCUGCCUUUGCGGACGAGGAGGCUAACGACAGGAGCCGCAGCUUUGCACCGGGGUCGUGCGUGUCGAAUGUGGUGUUUUUGUACCGACUGGUCCGCGGCAUCUGCGCCCGCAGCUACGGCGUAGAGGUUGCGGUGAUGGCUGGUAUCCCAAACACGUUGGUGCAGCUGGCGAAGGCAAAAUCAGAGGCGAUGUCGCGCGAGACCGCCUUCCACGAAGAUGUGCGCGCUAUCGAAAACUUCAUCCGCGUUUGAAAGGAAAGAAGGGGGCCCAGCUCACAAAAAAAAACGACAAUGCUUUCUCUCUGGUUUUCUGCUCCCUUUGCCUCAUCUGCGCGCUUUUCUUUCAUUUCAGUGAACUUGCCAUCCGCUAAGCUGCUAGCAGUGGCACAGUCCAUCAGCAAGAUGCUGCUGUUGUGAAUAUAUGCUCCGAGAAUGCCCCUCCCCUCCCUCUCUCGCCAGAUGAGCACACACGCAUUCAAGCUUCCCUACUUGCCUUGCUGACUUGGAUUUUAUUCUAUUUUACCCCCUUGAUUCAAGCCUCAGAGGAUGCCAUAGAAGUGCAGACAUAGAUGUGUUUAUCGUGCUUGCCAAUCAUCCCCGCGGGAAUCGGGUC